CACCUGACGGUGUGCUCCUGGUCAGCUCCGCCUGAGCCUGCAAGGACUCGUCCAGCUGCUGUCAGUGUCAGCGCCGGGGAUUAGCGUGCCCUCCUGGGGGAGUCCAGCUGACCGCAGCGCUGGAAGAAUCGGAAUCUCCAGACUGUCCUUGUUAGUUUCUUCUAAUGGUUCAGCAGCAGUUUGAUAUGAAUCCAGCAGAGGACUUAUCUGAGCAAUCUUGGAGGAAGGUACUAGCAUUACUUGCAUUCUUCAGAUGGGAACACUGAUACAGAGAGGUUCUAAGUCUUCAACAUGGCGGACAAAAUGAGCUUCCUCCUCUGCUCCUAGCCCUGUCGGUACUGCUGCCCGCCUGAGGCAAGUUCCUUCUCAUUUCUGGACCACACAGCUGCUUCCUUGGAUGGAAUCACAGACUUCUCCCUUCCCCAGGUCUACUGUACUUGAGGUGUCUCAGGUUGGGCAUGAGAACAGCUCCUUACUACUCCUUUGCUGAGUGAGGUGAUGCAUGAACCAAGGCCCCCGAGAGACCCCACGCCAGGAUCUCCAGCAACAAACAAGCCACUUCCCCAGGAUGGAUGGUGAGUGCUUCUUAUCAACACGGCAAGCCACUCGGCCUGGCUCCCGGAGGGCUGUUGAAUGAGGCAAGAGCCGAUCUCUCUCCACCUCCUUGCAAAGCUUUGCUCCUUGAUCUCCUCUACCUCCUGGUCCCAACCAGCCCUUAGGAAGUCACUGCUGGUCACAUCUCACAGAAUCACAGGCUCACAGAAGUACAGAACUCAACUGAAGAAGCAUUAGGUGUGUAUGAUACGCCAGGCCCUGUGGUAGGGCAGGGGAUACAGUGUAAACAAAAUAAAAAAGA
Long non-coding RNA from Felis catus (domestic cat), 856 nucleotides. RefSeq lists it as uncharacterized. The record is from RefSeq and is a predicted model, not a curated record. The transcript is spliced from 5 exons. NCBI's taxonomy places the organism in Eukaryota, Metazoa, Chordata, Mammalia, Carnivora, Felidae.